Coturnix japonica (Japanese quail) is the source of this 2417-nucleotide long non-coding RNA. NCBI's taxonomy places the organism in Eukaryota, Metazoa, Chordata, Aves, Galliformes, Phasianidae. The record is from Ensembl.
GGGUUAGGAACCAUCCAACACUUACAUUCACCUUCGUGGUACAACCAGCAGUGGAUAGAGGUGGAUACAGAUGCUUUUGGUGCUGUAACAGGCUCAGGUAGUGAUAGCUCCACUAAGGUGGAAAAGUGUCUCACUCUGUGGGGAAUCCCACUGAUCUCAGUGGCAUUAUAAGCAAUAGAAACUAACUGCCAUGAGCUGGGAGUUGUUGGUUGGUCUCUUUUAAUUUAAUCAGAAUGAAAUGUAUUGUAGUCUCGGAUUCCCAAAGGAAGGAUGUCUAUAAUAAUAACCUGCAAUUAUAUCCUAAAUACUCAGAAAGUUUUUUUCUUUCCUGCGGCGCUUGUAAUUUUGCUUGAGAGAAGGAAAAUAAGAAGAAAAUUCCCAAAUGAGGAUUUCUCUAAGCACUACAUGCACAGAACUUUUCAGUGAUAUCAGACAGUAUUUGUUCUUUGAGUGCUAUUCAGUAAAGUCAUCACACCUCUCAGUAGAAGACUCAACUGUUCUCUUAGCUUCCUUCACAAUGAACGGACACUGAAGAUUGCUACACCUGCUGAGCUGGGAAUAUUCAGCCUGGAGAAGAGGAUGCUUAGGGGAGACCUUAUUGCUCUCUAUAACUUCCUGAAGGGAGGUUGUACUGAGCUGUGGGUUGGCCUCUUCUCUCAUGUCCUUAGUGAUAGGACCAGAGGGAACGGUUUCAAGCUACAGCAGGGGAGAUUCAGGUUUGACAUUAGGAGGUAUUACUUCUCCGAAAGGGUGGUCAGGCACUGGAAUGGACUGCCCAGGGAGGUGGUGGAGUCACUGACUCUGGGGGUGCUCAAGGAAUGACUGGAUGUUGUGUUGAGGGACAUGGUUUAGUGGGAGCUAUUGGUGACAGGUGAACGGUUGGACUGGAUGAUCUUUUAGGUCUUUUCCAACCUUUGUGAUUCUAUGACCAGGAACAGCAUAACACACAUGAGAUAUGGUCUGUUGGACAACAACACAUUGCAGUCUUUCCAGUGGAUGUUGUUUCUUGAAGAGCAACUCAACCUCACUCCGCAUACCCUCCAGGCACAGUGAAAAGCAGGGGGUGAGCGAGGUAGGGAUCUAUUCUGCAACACAAGAUUUGGAAAAACUAUUACUCACCAAGAUGGGCUGUGUCCUGCUACUAAAUGCUUUCACCCUAACUCCUCACAGGGCAGUCCCAGCCACUCCUGCAACCAAUCACCAAGGCUACUUUUUGCCUGAAGCCACCCAGUGGCCCCACAGCCCCAACAGGAACCCAGCCCAAUGCACUGGGCACUACUGCACUUUCCCUCAAGUCAUGGAUAACAACCACAAAGGAACAAAUAUGACCUCACAAUGGAUCAUAUUUCAGAAUGGCCUUGAGGCAGAUGCUCAAAGGCAAGCCCUGCUCCUGGUGAGCUAUGCCAGUGUGCUUUAACUGAUGGAGAGCUCUAUGCAAAUUACACCAGAAUAAGCUGUAUCCGCUCCAGGAUGAGCUGCUGUCACCCAGUUCUUCACGCUUGGAGGGGAAGGUGAGAAAUCUUAGGAUCAUAGAAAGGCCUGGUUUGAAAGGACCAUCAGGUUUCAACCCCCUGCUAUGUACAGGGUCACCAACCACCAGACCAGGCUGCCCAGAGCCACAUCCAGCCUGGCCUUGAAUGCCUGCAGGGAUGGGGCAUCCACAGCCUCCUUGGGCAACCUAUUCCAGUGCAUCACCACCUUCCGAGUGAAAAACUUCCUCCUAAUAUCCACCCUAAACCACCCCUGUCUUAGUUUAAAACUGGGACCAUCCACCCAUGGCAGGAGGACCCUGUGUAGCUGCAGACCGGUCCUUUUAUGUUGUGUAAAGCCUGCAAGUUCCUGGAUGUCUCCCAAGUUCUGGAUCCUAAUUACUUCUUUGUCUUAUUCCAGAAUGACAGAGGACCAAAACCACUUGUGGUGUCACCAGGUACAAAGCAACUGACUUGAACUGUCAGCUUCAUACCAUUCUGACCAAGUAGUCUGAACUUCCUCCUGAACUCUAAACAUCUGCCACAGAAUUCAUUCAUUCAGAAUUAAUUCAAGCAACCGGUUUCAUUUGCUGUCCACUGCAGAGCACAGGAACACUACUGCUUUUUAUAACUUCAUCAGUUCCUCUCAGAAGUUUCUAUACAGAUUAAAAAACAACAACAAAGAAACAAACAAACCCCACACUCUUUCUCAUUAAAUAACUGCUUCAGAAUGGUUGCCUCCUUUUACCCAAGUUUUGAGUCCACACCUGUAUGAAAAACUGACUAAUCCCUGCUAAAUUCACCAGCAUUUCACAUAUAAGGACAUGAAAUGACUUAUACCACUUCCAGUGUACCAUCUCCCCGCUCCAUCCAGAAACAGAGCUGAUGUGCUCCUGCUGCCUACCUGCUCCUGCAAAUCCCAUGUAAAUCUGUUGCCCAGCUUCAGCC